Molecule: long non-coding RNA, 1874 nt
Organism: Canis lupus familiaris (dog)
Lineage: Eukaryota; Metazoa; Chordata; Mammalia; Carnivora; Canidae
Exons: 5
Source: RefSeq, a predicted model, not a curated record
UGCGGCGUGUAGGCGACCGGCGCUCCCCUCAGCCGCAGGGGCCCUGGAGCCGUCUUCUUGGCUGGGGAGGCGGCCUGCCUCGGGAGUCAGAUUCCACCCACGGCUUCUUGGGGGCAACGAGGCGUCCGGACUCCAGAAUCAAAUCGAUGUUCAAGAGGACAUUCUUGGAUGUUUGUACCUGAGGUCAAGGUGUUUCCGGUGAGGAACAGAAAGCGCAGGUGAAGGGCCUGGCCGGGAGGGGCUCUGGAAAAUAAUCAUGGAAGAAUGAAGGAGUUAGUGACCAAAUACGGGUGCGGAGGCCCACAGCGCAGGGCCCAGUGGCGGCCUGGUGGUCGGGAGCGUCCGCAUGGCGGACACGGACUGUGUGGCCCGGGCCAGCCUCCCUCCUGAGGUGAGGCUCACCUGUAAUCUCACCGCAGACCUACUUCCGGUCUUUCCCGCUGUGCAGAGAAGGUGCCAUUGAAGCUCUGAGAUGCCAGGACAAGGCUUAUCUCUUGCAACAUCAGAGUGAGUACAACUGGGAGCUAUUCUUGAAGAAGGCUGUGACAUCAUUAAUUAACACACACUAAGGAAAGAAUCUGACAGGGAUGGCAGCCCAGUCCAGAAAACGGAUACCAAAACACCAUGAAUCUGUCAGCAUGUGUGCAGUGGGGAACGGGGGAUGGCGGCCCAAGCUGUGUCUCAUACUCAGAUGCCAUUGAAGCUCUGAGAUGCCAGGACAAGGCUUAUCUCUUGCAAUAUCAGGUGAUAUGGAUGCCCUGAACUGCCCUGGAGAUGCAUCCUCAUCCAAUAAAGAGGUAAGAACAAAACAAUGAAAAAAAAGAGGACACAUGCAGGUAGAGGAGUGUGUCAAUGCCAAGUGAAAAUUUACCAGCUUCAUAGGGACAUCUGGGUGGCUCAGCGGUUGACCAUCUGCCGUCAGCUCAGGGCGUGAUCCCAGAGUCUCGGAAUCAAGUCCCACAUCAGGCUCCCUACAUGGAGCCUGCUUCUCUCUUUGCCUCUCUGUAUGUGUCUCCCAUGAAUAAAUAAAUAAAAUAUUUUUUAAAAAAUUUGUCAGCUUCAUGACUUCAUGAUUAGAAGAGAAGGAGGAGGAGCAAAUAUAAUAUAUUUUUUUUUCUGCUUCCUCAUUGUCCUUGUCUACAUACUGGUAUAUUUUCCAGAGCUAUAAGCAUAAUUGGAUAUUUUGUUUUUCAGAAUGCUAUUUUGAAUGACUCCUUCCCCUACCUGAUAUUCUUCAUAUUUUUUCUGUUAACUUGUAGAAUAUUCCAUCCAAUUAAUGUACUACAACUUACCUCACUGUUUUGACUUUCCCUAUUACUGGGCAUUUAGGUGGUUGAAUUUCUGUUAUUAUAGAGAAUGCUCUGGUGAAGAGCCUCAUACCUAGGGAUGCCUUCCUUGUGAAUUAGCUCCUCCACCUAAAUUACAAUGAAUGAAAUUACUGGGUCAGGUGUGGACAGUUUUAUGAUUCUUAGUACAUAGUAUCAAGUUCCUGUUUUAUAUCCACUGUCAGAAAGGUAUGAGCACAUCAGUUUAAUUGCAAACUCUGGCACCAGUAUCACUAUUACAUCUUCUUUGCCAAGUUAAUAGAUAUAAAAAUAUAUCUCAUUGUUUAUUUGAGUUUUGUUAUGUCCUGAAUAUUUUCCCAUUUGCUCAUUACCAGCAUUUCAUUCUAUUUGUGUCACUUGCUCAUAAGGGCAAAUUUAUGAUAUUUUUAUAUAUCAGAAUAAAUUCUUAUAUAUUAUGCAUAAUAAUCCAUUUCUGGGGACACCUGGGUGGCUCAGCGGUUGAGCAUCUUGCCUUCAGCUCAGGGCGUGAUCCUGGAUCGAGUCCCAUAUCAGGUUCCCUGGGGGAAGCCUACUUCUCCCUCUGCCUGU